AGUAAACUUCUCCUACAUACAUCCGUACCCUCCUUAAACCUAAAAAAAAUCCGUUUCAAUGAGAGUCGCUUUCCCAUUCAACACCGGCACCUUUUCAAGUUAUUUUCGAAACCCCUUCAACAUCACCAUGAUUCAACCUAAAAUCAACAAUUAAACCUCUGUUUCACCGGCUCUACGGCACCAAUUAGACCAUUGCUGCUCAUAUAUCCUUUGUUAUUUUGGUUCCUAUCUAUUUUUGGCUUUGCUGCUGCUGUAUCGAGUAGAUAUUCAAAAAAGAUUUCUCAGAUUUGAUUUACUUCAAGCUUCCUUACCAUAUCCUAGUUCUUCUAGUUCGAUAAUCGAUUAUUCCUUGCACGUUUUCAGCCUUUAGUCAAAGGAUUCGAUAUGGAUCAAGCUAAACAAAAGGAAGACUGAAAGGUAACAUACGGGCAGUACUCCUCAGCAUAUGGGCACAAAUUCCUGACUAGCAACUUCAUUCAAUUGCAUCGGAUCCAUCUAUCAUCAGCUAAGUUCUUAUGGACAUUGUCCUGUCCAUCAAAAUACAAUUUUUCUUGUGGAAAACAUUGACCUAAGACCUUUCAACAUUCGACUUCAACUCCAACAUCCGCCACCGGUGCAACUCCGAUCCGAAGACUGCUGUUCAAACUCCGCUUCAACAAGAUGUUGUAUAGUUGAUGAAUUUUGGGGUAUUACAUACCCUCAUGUAAUAGGCCCUCAGUAGUUAUUUAAUAAAUAUCAUGUUUCAAAAAAAAAAUUGUAUUCUUAUUGACAAUUCCUUAGACGUGAAGAAGAAAAACAGUCGAAGUACUAAUUAUGAA
Molecule: long non-coding RNA, 818 nt
Organism: Papaver somniferum (opium poppy)
Lineage: Eukaryota; Viridiplantae; Streptophyta; Magnoliopsida; Ranunculales; Papaveraceae
Exons: 2
Source: RefSeq, a predicted model, not a curated record